This 23-nucleotide non-coding RNA is filed under the name Rattus norvegicus (Norway rat). The record is from RNAcentral. Lineage: Eukaryota; Metazoa; Chordata; Mammalia; Rodentia; Muridae.
UUUAAGGUUAAAAGAAAGAGGGG